This 77-nucleotide transfer RNA is filed under the name Haloferax volcanii. RNAcentral's name for it is "tRNA-Trp". It matches the Rfam family "tRNA". From Rfam's summary of the family: Transfer RNA (tRNA) molecules are approximately 80 nucleotides in length. Their secondary structure includes four short double-helical elements and three loops (D, anti-codon, and T loops). The record is from RNAcentral. Lineage: Archaea; Methanobacteriati; Methanobacteriota; Halobacteria; Halobacteriales; Haloferacaceae.
GGGGCUGUGGCCAAUCCCGGCAUGGCGACUGACUCCAGAUCAGUCGAUCGGGGGUUCGAAUCCCUCCGGCCCCACCA